GAGAGGUGUUUAGAACACUAAGAACUGCUAAUUCUUAUCCCUGAAGUU
RNAcentral lists this transfer RNA (48 nucleotides) under Cyclura carinata. RNAcentral describes it as "partial tRNA-Ser". Lineage: Eukaryota; Metazoa; Chordata; Lepidosauria; Squamata; Iguanidae. The record is from RNAcentral.